UGUUUCGAGCCUAUGCUCUUCCACAGAAAGAAACAAGGAGAGAAAAUAAAAAAUGUGUAGUGGCUAAGGAUCUAUCAUGGCUAAUGCUGGACAGAGAGGUCACACUGGAGAACUAGGAAGAAGGGGAGAUAAUAAAGUAGUGGUGAUCCCAAAAUGAAGGUGCGUGUGUAUAAGAGAGUAUGUAUGUGUGUGUGGAUGUGGGGCUGGGAAGUGGUCAGUGCUAGUGUGUGUAGGGUGGUG
Octopus sinensis (East Asian common octopus) is the source of this 240-nucleotide long non-coding RNA. RefSeq lists it as uncharacterized. Lineage: Eukaryota; Metazoa; Mollusca; Cephalopoda; Octopoda; Octopodidae. The transcript is spliced from 3 exons. The record is from RefSeq and is a predicted model, not a curated record.